This is a long non-coding RNA of Lutra lutra (Eurasian river otter), 710 nucleotides long. RefSeq lists it as uncharacterized. The transcript has 3 exons. The record is from RefSeq and is a predicted model, not a curated record. Lineage: Eukaryota; Metazoa; Chordata; Mammalia; Carnivora; Mustelidae.
CGCGGGGGGCGGGGCGGGGCUGCUCGGGGAGGGGCGCCACCGAGCGGGCCCUGUUGGGUCAGCCCCAACGCCUCCCGCCCGGGUCCAGACCCGCGCCCCAAACCCGCUCUCUGCGCCUCGUCUCCCGGACGGGUAAACUGAGGCCUGGAGAGGGCUCGGGGCUAGGGUUCGAGUCCCGCCGCCAGUCACCCACUCCGAGGAGGCGCAGGGACCGGGGGGCGAGACAGCGAUGCCAAGAGCGGUCAGCUCUCGGCCCUGCAGACCGACUGACGCAGGACGCCGCCUCGGGCUCAGAGCCGGCGCUCUGGGGCUCGAGUCCCCGCCCCACUGCUGACCAGCUGUGUGAUGGAUGACCUUGAAAGGCGCUCUUAAGACCCAAGCCAGGACGAGGGAUAUGUUCACAAGGCACUGGCAUUCCAGGCAGAGGGGUAGAAACCAGAAGGUGCAGGACAGGACUGAGACCCCCAUUGCCUUGCUGGCUAUCAAUCAGGAACGACUUUCAGGUCCUUGCCUCAUGCCCUGCCUUCCGUCUCAUCCACAGAGAAUCUCUCACAUCAAAUCCUGCUCACUCUUUGAAUCUUUCUGAAGACCCUUCAACUGUCAGAGAAAACUCUGAACUUUUACAGAACUUGUAAUUAGGUCCAGUCAAGCCAGGUAACCUCCCUCCUCGAGGGCAACUGUACCAUGUUACAUAAAUCUAAUGUCAAGAA